This 347-nucleotide unclassified non-coding RNA is filed under the name soil metagenome. Its description in RNAcentral is "partial contains 5.8S ribosomal RNA, internal transcribed spacer 2, and large subunit ribosomal RNA". The stretch from base 1 to 120 matches the Rfam family "5.8S ribosomal RNA", at positions 35 to 154 of the family's 154-position model. The record is from RNAcentral.
GAUGAAGAACGCAGCGAAAUGCGAAAAGUAAUGUGAAUUGCAGAAUUCAGUGAACCAUCGAAUCUUUGAACGCACAUUGCGCCCGCUGGAACUCCGGCGGGCACGCCUGUCCGAGCGUCAUUUCAACCCUCAGGCCCCCCUUCGCGGGCGGGCCUGGUGUUGGGGCCCGGCCGCUACCCUGCGGCCGUCCCCUAAAUCCAGUGGCGGCCUCGCCGUGAUCCCUUGCGUAGUAAUGCACCUCGCACCGGAGAGCGCCGUGGCCAAGCCGUAAAACCCCCAAUUUUCAAUGGUUGACCUCGGAUCAGGUGGGAAUACCCGCUGAACUUAAGCAUACAAUAAGCGGAGGA